This 385-nucleotide ribosomal RNA is filed under the name uncultured bacterium. RNAcentral's name for it is "bacterial SSU rRNA". It matches the Rfam family "Bacterial small subunit ribosomal RNA", at positions 28 to 410 of the family's 1533-position model. The record is from RNAcentral.
GAUUAACGCUAGCGGCAGGCAUAAUACAUGCAAGUUGAACGGGAUAAGUUGUAGCAAUACGACUUUGAGAGUGGCGCACGGGUGCGUAACACGUAUGCAAUCUGCCCCUAUCUGUGGAAUAGCCCCUCGAAAGAGGGAUUAAUACCACAUAAUAUAGUGAGUAGGCAUCUACUUACUAUCAAAGCUCCGGCGGAUAGGGAUGAGCAUGCGGCUGAUUAGCUAGUUGGUGAGGUAAUGGCUCACCAAGGCUUCGAUCAGUAGGGGGUCUGAGAGGAUGUCCCCCCACACUGGUACUGAGACACGGACCAGACUCCUACGGGAGGCAGCAGUAGGGAAUAUUGGUCAAUGGGGGCAACCCUGAACCAGCCAUGCCGCGUGCAGGAUU